This 246-nucleotide ribosomal RNA is filed under the name Sordaria sclerogenia. RNAcentral describes it as "partial 28S ribosomal RNA". It matches the Rfam family "Eukaryotic large subunit ribosomal RNA", at positions 345 to 597 of the family's 3401-position model. The record is from RNAcentral. Lineage: Eukaryota; Fungi; Ascomycota; Sordariomycetes; Sordariales; Sordariaceae.
CAAGUAGAGUGAUCGAAAGAUGAAAAGCACUUUGAAAAGAGGGUUAAAUAGCACGUGAAAUUGUUGAAAGGGAAGCGUUUGUGACCAGACUUGCGCCGUUCCGAUCAUCCGGUGUUCUCACCGGUGCACUCGGGGCGGCUCAGGCCAGCAUCGGUUUUGGUGGGGGGAUAAAGGUUCGGGGAACGUAGCUCCUCCGGGAGUGUUAUAGCCCCGGGCGUAAUGCCCUCGCCGGGACCGAGGUUCGCG